Myodes glareolus (Bank vole) is the source of this 641-nucleotide non-coding RNA. The record is from RefSeq and is a predicted model, not a curated record. NCBI's taxonomy places the organism in Eukaryota, Metazoa, Chordata, Mammalia, Rodentia, Cricetidae.
CGAACAGAAGGUCACUGUAAUUCAGGAUGAACAAGAAAUUCCCAUGGAUUCUAGAAAAAAAAAAGUCGAUUUAUCUUGGAAACAAGGAUAAUAUGGGUGACAAAAAAGAAAUUCUACAGUGAAGACUGCAGGGCAUGGUGACAAAUAUGUUUGAUUCCAGCACUGUGGAGGCAAAGGCAGGCGGCUCUCUGUGAGGUUGAGGCUAACCUAGUCUAUAUUGUGAAUUCCAGGACAGCGAGGGCUUGUCUAAAACAAAACAAGGACACCCACCAUAAACGGUGACUGCAUAGAUAACCGCAAAGAAUCUCAUCAAUGGGGAAGAUGCAUGAACGGUGCCGGGGAAAGAAGGACUCAGGAUGCUGCUCCGGGUACCGCAUGCAGCCUCUGAGGCUCCUGUGAGGUUGGUAACUGCUUCAUGUUCGGUAUAAAGCUUUUCAGGGCCGAGCAUCGGAAACAAAGAUAGUGUAAUAAAAUGAAAGGUUCAGCCUUAUGUUCUACCAAAGAUCGAUAUCUACAUAUAACUAAGAGUUUUUAUUUUUACUUCUUGCUUCAACAAUAUUGAUCAGUAAAGCUAAUUAAUGAGUGACAUCUAGGUGAAUUCUGAUGUUUUCAAUAAACACCUCAUAUUUUCUAUUUUUAAA